This 535-nucleotide ribosomal RNA is filed under the name Monolistra pretneri. Its description in RNAcentral is "partial 12S ribosomal RNA". RNAcentral also lists the same sequence under 1 other name. The record is from RNAcentral. Lineage: Eukaryota; Metazoa; Arthropoda; Malacostraca; Isopoda; Sphaeromatidae.
CGCGGUUAGACUUUAAACCAGUAAUUUUUUUAAAUUUAAAAUUAGCUAACUAAUAUAUUGUUAAUAAUGAUUUAAUAAGAGGUAAAAUUCAAGCUUAAAAUUUUUGAACUUAGGAGUAGUGAGGCUAUUAAAUCUAGGAACUAAACCGGGAUUAGAUACCCCGCUAUACUUAGACUAAAGUUUUAAAGGGUAGUAAAAGAAAUAGGCUUCAAACCCAAAGGAUUUGGCGGUCUUUAAACCAACCAGAGGAGGCCGCCCUGUAAUCGUAAGUACGCGCUAUAUCUUACCUCAGUUAUACUCGUAUACCGUCAUCUUAGUAUAAUUAUAAAAUUAUAUUAAAACUAGUUAUAAAAAUGUUAGAUCAAGGUGCGGCAGUGGUGUGGUAACGGUAGCCUACAAUUUUACUACUAGUGGAAGCGCGUUAAAAUACGUUCGGAAAAUGGAUUUGGAAGUAACAACAUUUUAAAAUACUGUUGUAAAUAGGCUCUUAAAGAUGUACAUAUCGCCCGUCACUCUCUUAGCCGAGAUAAGUCGU